RNAcentral lists this ribosomal RNA (497 nucleotides) under uncultured bacterium. RNAcentral's name for it is "partial 16S ribosomal RNA". It matches the Rfam family "Bacterial small subunit ribosomal RNA", at positions 28 to 507 of the family's 1533-position model. The record is from RNAcentral.
GAUGAACGCUGGCGGCGUGCCUAAUACAUGCAAGUCGAGCGAACGGACGAGAAGCUUGCUUCUCUGAUGUUAGCGGCGGACGGGUGAGUAACACGUGGAUAACUUACCUAUAAGACUGGGAUAACUUCGGGAAACCGGAGCUAAUACCGGAUAAUAUUUUGAACCGCAUGGUUCAAAAGUGAAAGACGGUCUUGCUGUCACUUAUAGAUGGAUCCGCGCUGCAUUAGCUAGUUGGUAAGGUAACGGCUUACCAAGGCAACGAUGCAUAGCCGACCUGAGAGGGUGAUCGGCCACACUGGAACUGAGACACGGUCCAGACUCCUACGGGAGGCAGCAGUAGGGAAUCUUCCGCAAUGGGCGAAAGCCUGACGGAGCAACGCCGCGUGAGUGAUGAAGGUCUUCGGAUCGUGAAACUCUGUUAUUAGGGAAGAACAUAUGUGUAAGUAACUGUGCACAUCUUGACGGUACCUAAUCAGAAAGCCACGGCUAACUACGUG